ACCAAGAGCAUAUUUCACAGACCUAGAACAAACUCUCCAAAAAUUCAUCUGAAAUAAAAAGAGACCCCGAAUUGCUGCAGUGAUCCUGAAAAAGAACAAAGUAGGUGGGAUCUCAAUACCAGAUAUCAAGCUGUAUUACAAAGCCACGGUUCUCAA
Myotis davidii is the source of this 156-nucleotide long non-coding RNA. RefSeq lists it as uncharacterized. The record is from RefSeq and is a predicted model, not a curated record. The transcript is spliced from 3 exons. NCBI's taxonomy places the organism in Eukaryota, Metazoa, Chordata, Mammalia, Chiroptera, Vespertilionidae.